GAUGAAGAACGCAGCGAAAUGCGAUAAGUAGUGUGAAUUGCAGAAUUCAGUGAAUCAUCGAAUCUUUGAACGCACAUUGCGGCCAUAGGUAUUCCUUUGGCCAUGCCUGUUCGAGCGUCAUUUACACCCUCAAGCCUAGCUUGGUGUUGGGCGCCUGUCCCGCCGUUUUCGCGCGCGGACUCGCCUCAAAGUCAUUGGCGGCGGUCGUGCCGGCCCCCUCGCGCAGCACAUUUGCGCUUCUCGGAGGCCCGGCGGAUCCGCGCUCCAGCAAGACCUUUCACGACUUGACCUCGGAUCAGGUAGGGAUACCCGCUGAACUUAAGCAUAUCAAUAACGGAGGA
This 341-nucleotide unclassified non-coding RNA is filed under the name soil metagenome. RNAcentral's name for it is "partial contains 5.8S ribosomal RNA, internal transcribed spacer 2, and large subunit ribosomal RNA". The stretch from base 1 to 120 matches the Rfam family "5.8S ribosomal RNA", at positions 35 to 154 of the family's 154-position model. The record is from RNAcentral.